This 1634-nucleotide small RNA is filed under the name Arabidopsis thaliana (thale cress). Its description in RNAcentral is "ATSL200330". The record is from RNAcentral. Lineage: Eukaryota; Viridiplantae; Streptophyta; Magnoliopsida; Brassicales; Brassicaceae.
UUUUACGUUUUUAAACAUCACUCAAACACGACCAAUAUACUCGAUCUCUAGGACAUCAGUAGAGUAAAAGUUUUGAAUUUUUACUCUACCUUCACUUUACUCCUUUCUUCCUGAGAACCACAAACACAACCAAAACAAAUCAAAAAUAACAAGAAAGUAAAAAUUAUUUACAAGGAUAGUCAUGGAACUUCCUCCCAAGUGAGCUUGUUUUAAGUCUCUAGCUUGACUCCUCACACUUAUCAAGAAGAAAAUGAACUGUAGAGAGGGUCAGCAUAAUCCUCUCUGAUACCAUCAUCAUACUCAGCGUCCUCCCUGGAGAGGUCUGCAGCAGAAUACUCAAUUCCCCUUUCUUCAAAAUAGGCUUCCUUCUCUUCUUGAGGGUAAUCUGUCUCUGGAGACCAUCUUGAAGUGAAUUCUUUUCUCGGGAUAGUGUUAAUCCCGCCUUUAGGUUGAGCUUCCUUCUGCAUCUGAUUCAGCUUACUCCUAAGUUCCUCAAUAGUGUGGGCUAGCUUCUCUAUAGUUUCAUCUUGCUUAUCAGACCUCUUUUUAAGUUCUUUCACUCGUUCAGUCUCAUAUCCUUCUCCUGAGAUCGCUUUAUCAUUUCCAGAGGUUCUUCCAUCUUCGGUUGACCCUUGUGGAGUUUUGUUGAUGCCAAACUGCAACUUGAUAUGCUUUCCAAGGUUGAGACUUAUUUUCCCUUCCCUGACAUCUAUCACUGCUCCCACUGACGCUAAAAAGGGUCUUCCCAGUAUUAAGGGAUCCUUAUGCUCUACUUCCAUAUCCAGCACCACGAAGUCUGUAGGCACUUCUACGCCAUUAAUCAUGACUGGUAGGUCUAUCAGCAUGCCGAACGGUUUUCUAGAAGACCUAUCCGCAAGGAUCAAAGUCAGGUCACAAGGUUUAUAUUGAAUGAACUCUAACCUUCUUGCCACAGAGAGUGGCAUCAAGCUAACAGAGGCUCCGAGAUCGCACAGACAAUCGCUGAAAGCAAAUUCCCCAAUGGAACAUGGUAGAGUGAAAGAUCCAGGAUCUUCUAACUUCUCUUGAACAAUCCUCUUAUCAGCAGCUCGAGAUGGAGUGGCAUCACUUUCAUCAUCCGAAUCGUGAUACAUCUUGAUCCUUUCCAGUAUUAAAUUUCUCACAUCUUUGUGAGGAUCAGGAAUCAGGUUAAGAAUUUCCAUUAGUGGCAUCACAGCUUCAAUCUCGUCCAACUGCUUCGCUGCAACAGACUUGUAUCUCUCCAUCCAUGCUUUCCUGAAUGUCCACGGAAGAGCACGUGAGGGUAGUGGAGUAGGUUUGAAUCGUUUUACCAUUCUCUCGAUUAUGGCGGCCUUCUCUUCCGAGGUGGAUUGAGUGAGAUGGCGAGAUGACAGAUGGUGAUGGCGUGAGCGGUUGCAUACUCUUUUGGAUUCUGUAUGGACUUCCCUGGAAGUCCUGUAACUUUUGGUGCAGAGGUAGAUGCUGAUUGGCCUUCCAAGUAUCUGACUUUGGUAUUCAAUGCAGUCCAGCUUAUGGUGCAAUUCAGAUAAUUUCUUAGCAAUUUCCAUUGAGCUAGAUGCUUGUCCCUGUAGCAGCUGUUGGACCAUCUGUUUCAUUUCAGCAUCAGGAGCAGCAGGACCUUGGUUUUGCUGAGA